This 253-nucleotide ribosomal RNA is filed under the name uncultured bacterium. RNAcentral describes it as "partial 16S ribosomal RNA". It matches the Rfam family "Bacterial small subunit ribosomal RNA", at positions 524 to 776 of the family's 1533-position model. The record is from RNAcentral.
UACGUAGGGACCGAGCGUUGUCCGGAAUCAUUGGGCGUAAAGAGCGUGUAGGCGGCUCGCUAAGUCUUGCGUGAAAUCUCGGGGCUCAACCCCGAGCGGUCGUGAGAAACUGGCGGGCUAGAGUGCGGGAGAGGAGAGUGGAAUUCCUGGUGUAGUGGUGGAAUGCGUAGAUAUCGGGAGGAACACCAGUGGCGAAGGCGGUUACCUGGAGCUUUGCUGACGCUGAUGCGCGAAAGCGUGGGGAGCGAUCCGG